UGGUAUGCAAAAUUGUCUUUUUAUUUCAGUAAGAAAUAUUAAUUCUACAGACAAAUUCAUUAGUUAAAAUAUACAUUACAUCGGACUAAAAAUACCAUUGAUAGGAUACUUCACUAUCUGAUUCUGUAUCAGCACAUGCAAUUCAAAAGUGGAUGUACUCUUCUCCAAAACUGAAAGGUUGAAUGAGAUUCUGCCAUCUAUAAUUAUUUGCAAUGAACUCUUAAGCUUGAUUAAAUUGAGAACACAAGCGUCUGGAUGGGGGUCUCUAUUCUGUAUUCUUUUAUUUUUUUGUAAUUUUUCUCCAUCAUGUAAACCCCCAUCCACACCUUCAUACAUCUGUUUAUCUAAAUCACUGACAAUAUAAAUGUAUUA
This 372-nucleotide long non-coding RNA is filed under the name Mytilus galloprovincialis (Mediterranean mussel). Lineage: Eukaryota; Metazoa; Mollusca; Bivalvia; Mytilida; Mytilidae. The record is from RNAcentral.